UUGAAAGGGAAACGAUUGAAGUCAGUCGUACCGACGGAGGAUCAACCUUUGAAAGCGGGUCGAGGUAUUCGAGGAGUUUAAAAGCCCUCUUGCGCUCACGUACUUCGUUUUCUUUGGUGCACUUCUUCGUAUGGUAGGUUAACAUCAAUUUUGGACGUUACAAAAUGAUCGGGGGAAUGUAACUUCGAUUUUUUCGAAGUGUUAUAGACCUUGGUAGAUGUGACGACCGGGAUUGAGGAUUGCAACGAAUGCUUUCGGGCUAUCCGUCUGACCUCUGGUGGUUGCUUUAGGGUCGAAAGCGUGCUUACGACUUUAAAGUUGGCUAUCAAAAGGCUAGAACGUGAUUAAAUUCGUUAAGGAUGUUGACGUA
RNAcentral lists this ribosomal RNA (370 nucleotides) under uncultured Glomeromycotina. RNAcentral's name for it is "LSU rRNA". The record is from RNAcentral. Lineage: Eukaryota; Fungi; Glomeromycota.